AGACAAGGGGUGAAACGAAAUCCCCAAAAUUUUGAAAACCCGCCUCGAUUUUUCUAUCUUCUAUCUAUCUUUCAUCCUUGCAAUCCACUCUCCCCUCUCUGAUACUCUCUCCUCUAGAUCUCCCUUCAUUCUCUACCUCCCGUCUCUCUGUAAACCCUAAGCCAUCGCCACCUCCCUUCUCUCUAGCACGUGCUAGGGGUUUUAUUUUCUUUCAAGCUUCCGCUUCUCUCGUUUUCUCUCAACCCAGUACGUGCGAGGGUUCGGAAUAACUGAGCGUAUUCAAACAAUCAAUCUUCCAUUUGAACUUCUUUCAACUCUGGAUCAUCGAGUAUUUUUUCAGAUUCCUUUUCCUGUUUUGUUCAUUUAAGACAAAGAAAGAUUGGGACGAUGGGUAUGUUCAAACCCUAGACCACAUUCACGCCUCUCCAUCCACACUCGCUACCUUUUCCUCUGUUUCUUCCUCUAACACCGUUGAUCUAGGGCAAAAUCUCCGCCAUCUUCAGUUCAUCUUCAGUAAUAUGGAUUUGAAACCGUUGAUUUUGGAAGGGAGAGAUAGGGUUUCUGGAAUUUUAUCAUGAUAUGAAACCCAAUAACUGAAGUGAUGAGAAGUCAGGGGUAUUUUGGACCAUACGAGUCAAAUAUAUUGGAAGGGUCAUGACCUGUGACAAGGAGGGGCAAGAAGGGCGGCCCAUUAUUUUCAGGGGGGCUAAAAAUAAAGAUAGUCCAAUUUUUCACUUACUCACACGCGAGAAGGCGACAUAGAUCGAUCGCAGCAGAACACAUAAAUCAUCAACGAUUCACGCCUUAACGACAACAUCGACUAGCGAGGUCCCAGGGUUGAUGUGAUUCUGUGAAGGAUCAAUUUAUGCGCUCCUACAGUCUUGCUUAUUCUUCUGACUUCUAAUCAAGUUCACUCUUUUGUCUGAAUCAGAUUCUUGGAGCACCAAAUGAGGAAAUUUUGUUAAUUCACGAAAUAUUUGGAUUGUGUCUAGCAGGAGGGAGGGAAGUCCAUGAUGUAGUUGUGAAAAGUAUUCAAGAUCUGGCAAAAGCAUUCUCACUUUAUGAUGUUGAAAUGCUGGUAAGAAGGGAAGAAUUACUUCAGUUUGCUCAAACUGCAAUCACUGGGCUUAAAGAAACUGGUGACAUAGCACGGUAGAAUAGAUUUUGAAAUCUCACAAAUACAUCAACGAUUGAAUAGAAUGAAAUGCCAGCAAUCUGCACAUGAAGCCAGUGACAAUUCUUCUGAGGCAACAAGCACUGCAUCAUUAAUGAUUAAGCUGUUGAUGAAAUCAAUACAACAAUAAACCCUAAUAGGAAACCAUAUGUGAAAAAACACACCUUUUCUGAUGCAAGAAAUAGAAGAACCUGUUACACAUAUUUAGUUGUGCUGCAGAUUGAAGUCAUUUUUACUGAAGAAAUGAUUGUUGAGAUAUGGGGAUACAAUAGAGACUCAUGCUCAGAGAGUUGAUAUAUUAAAAGUUCUAGUAGAAUCUCUUCAUAACUCGGCCUCCAAAACAAAAAUGCGAACUUUGGACAGAGGGAAGAGAAAAACGAAGCCCUUACUUUUCGUGUAGCUAGAAGCAAUGAAGUCAGCCAAAUUGAGAAGGUUUGAUGGCAUUUUGGAAGUUUAUUACAUUUAUUUUAUUAUCUUUAGAUGAUUAGAUUCUAUUACCUUAAUUUGAAGAUUAGAACAUUUUUAAGGAGUUGGGAGCUGAAAUUAGUGAGCUUGAAAAGCAAAGAGACAAAAUCGAAGCUGAAUUGAGAGAGGUAAUCUUCAUUGUGAAGUCUAAGUUUCUAACUCUUAACACAUGGUUUUUGUUAGCUCCUCCUUCCGAUAUUGCCCUUGUCACCCUGUUAUCCGGUUGGGCUUGCAAAGGGCGUCCAAGGGAAAUAUGCUUGUCUUCAAGCACAAAAGGUUGUUGUCAUGCAAGGGCAUUUUUGGAAUCCAGUAAUGGUUGCAAUCCACCUUGUUGUGCAAUGGCAUUUUUGGAAAUAUGCCUGUCUUCAGGCACAACAGAAAAAGUGCUAUGUGUGCAAUACGAAAGAGGAUGGUUGCUGGAGGGAAAUAAUGAACAUCAGGUUGGGCGCAAGUUUUACACCAAUGGGUUAUAAGGUGGACUGAGGUGAUAGAUCAACCAGAGGGGUCAUCCUUUUAAAAGAUUGAUUUUAUCCCCUCUAUAUGUUAAAGGACUUGGUAGAUCAUCAUCUGGUGGAAUCUUGAGUUCCAUUACUUAUGGAGCCAAUGAGAUUGCUUCUUCUGCUCUAGCAAGUAUCACAAGUCAAAGUAAGAAAAACAAAGGGAAUUUCAAUCGAGUGAAUUUAGAUAAAGAUAAAGGUAUAGGGGAAUCGUCUAUCUUCUUGCAUGCCUUCUAGAACCUUUUAUGCCAUCGUUUUCUAUUGA
Molecule: long non-coding RNA, 2401 nt
Organism: Lactuca sativa (garden lettuce)
Lineage: Eukaryota; Viridiplantae; Streptophyta; Magnoliopsida; Asterales; Asteraceae
Source: RefSeq, a predicted model, not a curated record